GGGAGGCAGCAGUAGGGAAUUUUGCGCAAUGGGCGAAAGCCUGACGCAGCGACGCCGCGUGAGGGACGAAGGCCUUCGGGUCGUAAACCUCUUUUUCUAGGGAAGAACUCUGACGGUACCUAGGGAAUAAGUCACGGCUAACUACGUGCCAGCAGCCGCGGUAAUACGUAGGUGGCUAACGUUAUCCGGGUUUACUGGGCGUAAAGAGGGCGCGGGCGGUUUUGCAAGUCGGAUGUGAAAUCUCUCCACUUAAUGGGGAGUCUUCGUUUGAUACUACAAGACUUGAGGGCAGCAGAGGGAAGUGGAACUCCAGGUGUAGCGGUGAAAUGCGUAGAUAUCUGGAAGAACACCAGUGGCGAAAGCGACUUCCUGGGCUGUUCCUGACGCUGAGGUCCGAAAGUGUGGGGAGCAAAGCGGAUUAGAUACCCCAGUAGUCC
This 437-nucleotide ribosomal RNA is filed under the name uncultured bacterium. RNAcentral's name for it is "bacterial SSU rRNA". It matches the Rfam family "Bacterial small subunit ribosomal RNA", at positions 343 to 796 of the family's 1533-position model. The record is from RNAcentral.